UGGGGAAUCUUGGACAAUGGGCGCAAGCCUGAUCCAGCCAUGCCGCGUGAGUGAAGAAGGCCUUCGGGUUGUAAAGCUCUUUUACCAGGGACGAUAAUGACGGUACCUGGAGAAUAAGCCCCGGCAAACUUCGUGCCAGCAGCCGCGGUAAUACGAAGGGGGCUAGCGUUGUUCGGAAUUACUGGGCGUAAAGCGCACGUAGGCGGGUCGUUAAGUCAGGGGUGAAAUCCCAGAGCUCAACUCUGGAACUGCCUUUGAUACUGGCGACCUAGAGUCCGGAAGAGGUUAGUGGAAUUCCCAGUGUAGAGGUGAAAUUCGUAGAUAUUGGGAAGAACACCAGUGGCGAAGGCGGCUAACUGGUCCGGUACUGACGCUGAGGUGCGAAAGCGUGGGGAGCAAACAG
Molecule: ribosomal RNA, 403 nt
Filed under: uncultured bacterium
Lineage: Bacteria
Description: bacterial SSU rRNA
Rfam family: Bacterial small subunit ribosomal RNA
Source: RNAcentral